CCUACGGGAGGCAGCAGUGGGGAAUAUUGGUCAAUGGGCGCAAGCCUGACCCAGCAACGCCGCGUGAAGGAAGAAGGCUUUCGGGUUGUAAACUUCUUUUAAGGGGGAAGAGCAGAAGACGGUACCCCUUGAAUAAGCCACGGCUAACUACGUGCCAGCAGCCGCGGUAAUACGUAGGUGGCAAGCGUUGUCCGGAUUUACGUGGUGUAAAGGGCGUGCAGCCGGAGAGACAAGUCAGAUGUGAAAUACACGGGAUCAACACGUGAACUGCAUUUGAAACUUGUUCCCUUGAGUGGCGGAGAGAUAAUCGGAAUUCCUUGUGGAGCGGUGAAAUGCGUAGAUAUAAGGAAGAACACCAGUGGCGAAGGCGGAUUACUGGACGAUAACUGACGGUGAGGCGCGAAAGCGUGGGGAGCAAACAGGAUUAGAUACCCCUGGUAGUC
This 443-nucleotide ribosomal RNA is filed under the name uncultured bacterium. RNAcentral describes it as "partial 16S ribosomal RNA". It matches the Rfam family "Bacterial small subunit ribosomal RNA", at positions 338 to 795 of the family's 1533-position model. The record is from RNAcentral.